AGUGAACGCUGGCGGUAGGCCUAACACAUGCAAGUCGAACGGCAGCACAGUAAGAGCUUGCUCUUACGGGUGGCGAGUGGCGGACGGGUGAGGAAUACAUCGGAAUCUACUUUUUCGUGGGGGAUAACGUAGGGAAACUUACGCUAAUACCGCAUACGAACUACGGGUGAAAGCAGGGGAUCUUCGGACAUCGCGCGAUUGAAUGAGCCGAUGUCGGAUUAGCUAGUUGGCGGGGUAAAGGCCCACCAAGGCGACGAUCCGUAGCUGGUCUGAGAGGAUGAGCAGCCACACUGGAACUGAGACACAGUCCAGACUCCUACGGGAGGCGGCAGUGGGGAAUAUUGUACAAUGGGCGCGAGCCUGAUCCAGCCAUACCGCGUGUGUGAAGAAGGCCUUCGGAUUGUAAAGCCCUUUUGUUGGGAAAGAAAAGCAGCAGGUUAAUACCCCGCUGUUCUGACGUUACCCAAAGAAUAAGCACCGGCUAACUUCGUG
Molecule: ribosomal RNA, 492 nt
Filed under: uncultured bacterium
Lineage: Bacteria
Description: partial 16S ribosomal RNA
Rfam family: Bacterial small subunit ribosomal RNA
Source: RNAcentral